CCAAAUACUGCAUGUUCAUUUUGCAUACAUUUUUUAAAACGAAAGCAAAAGCUUUGUUACAUCUCAUUAAGAAAGGAAAGAGAAAAACAUUGUCUUCACGGUUAGAGGACCACAUAGAUCCGAACAAAGGGAUCACUCUUCCAGAAUAAUAUUACCGGAAAACUUAGCCCCGGCAAUUACCCACGUCUUCACCUUGUUUUUAAUUGAUGCCGCCACCCUUGUGGGUAGGGUAGCCUUGUAGCGGAAGACUCGAACGUUCAUUUCGUUCCAAAUCUCCCAAUAUAUGAACAUCCGCAAGGAGUAACCCACUUUUCUGAACUAGCAUGGUUGGUUCUCACUCGAAAUCCACUAUUGGUUCACUGUCUCCAAGUCGGCCCAGGAGGGGGUCAUAGAUUACCAUCCCAGCCAGCCGAAGAUAAAGUUCCAAACUCUGAUAGUGAAGGGACAUUUGAACAUAAUAUGGUCAGCGACCUCGGCUCCCGCUUGCAAAGUUGGCAAAGGUCAUCGUUUGGCCAGCCCUUGAGUUGAAGCCUGUUAGCUGUCGAAAUUAUGUCUUGUAUUAUGAGCAAGAGAAGAAUUUAAUCUUUAGGGUGCCCAAAUCUUGUUAAUAACUAGGCACAAUUUUCAUGAUUAAUUCCAGAAUAUAAAACAUGACGAUACCAGCUACUAACAUGUGAAACUCUAUCAUACUAGAUGCAGCAGACAACAUGAAUAGCAGCAAGACCGUAUAGCAAAACAUUUACGCAUCUACCAUGUUCAUCAGGCUAACGCACACCGCACGUACCGAACGUUUGUAGAGGAAGCAAAUGUGUUCGGUGCAAACAUGUUGUUGACUAUGACGUUGGCGAUGACGGGACGAAGUAGACGACGCUUGAGGCGGUGGUACGCAGCACCGCCCGACUUGCUUGGUAGACGACCCGUUGUGGAAGCAGCGAGCAGUCGCGCAAAGUGCUUCCCAAAAACCUAAUUCGCCUUCUCCCGUACAGGAUCGCAAAGGCGACUGGUUCCAGAGACCUGCUCUCCCGUUCGCCGUUGGACGCCGGCUACGAUGGCGGCGCAAGUUGUGAGACGAGGCAAAACCCUAG
This 1085-nucleotide long non-coding RNA is filed under the name Hordeum vulgare. Its description in RNAcentral is "long non-coding RNA (HVUL_LNC008742)". Lineage: Eukaryota; Viridiplantae; Streptophyta; Magnoliopsida; Poales; Poaceae. The record is from RNAcentral.